This 253-nucleotide ribosomal RNA is filed under the name uncultured bacterium. RNAcentral describes it as "partial 16S ribosomal RNA". It matches the Rfam family "Bacterial small subunit ribosomal RNA", at positions 524 to 776 of the family's 1533-position model. The record is from RNAcentral.
UACGUAGGGGGCAAGCGUUGUCCGGAUUUAUUGGGCGUAAAGAGCGUGUAGGCGCCAGGUAGGUCCGCUGUGAAAACUCGAGGCUCAACCUCGAGAUGUCGGCGGAAACCAUCUGGCUAGAGUCCGGAAGAGGAGAGUGGAAUUCCCUGGUGUAGCGGUGAAAUGCGCAGAUAUCAGGAAGAACACCCGUGGCGAAGGCGGCUCUCUGGGACGGUACUGACGCUGAGACGCGAAAGCGUGGGGAGCGAACAGG